UUCAAGGGGUGCCCACGGGUGUGGGCUGAGAUGAUACCCUCUAACCUGAUCCGGACAAUGCCGGCGAAGGGAUGGAUAGU
RNAcentral lists this non-coding RNA (80 nucleotides) under uncultured Prevotella sp. Its description in RNAcentral is "TPP riboswitch (THI element)". It matches the Rfam family "TPP riboswitch aptamer (THI element)", at positions 7 to 92 of the family's 105-position model. Rfam says of the family: Vitamin B(1) in its active form thiamin pyrophosphate (TPP) is an essential coenzyme that is synthesised by coupling of pyrimidine and thiazole moieties in bacteria. The previously detected thiamin-regulatory element, thi box was extended, resulting in a new, highly conserved RNA secondary structure, the THI element, which is widely distributed in eubacteria and also occurs in some archaea. The record is from RNAcentral. Lineage: Bacteria; Pseudomonadati; Bacteroidota; Bacteroidia; Bacteroidales; Prevotellaceae.